RNAcentral lists this ribosomal RNA (123 nucleotides) under Erinaceus europaeus (western European hedgehog). The record is from RNAcentral. Lineage: Eukaryota; Metazoa; Chordata; Mammalia; Eulipotyphla; Erinaceidae.
ACUGGCCAUCCCACCCUGAACAUGCCUGAUUUCAGAAGCUAGGCAGGACCAGACCUGGUUAGUACUUGGAUGGAAGAGAAAGACAGAGCUGGAUCCCAAGAGAAAUGAAAGGAACUUACAGUC